UACGGAGGGGGCUAGCGUUGUUCGGAAUUACUGGGCGUAAAGCGCACGUAGGCGGAUCAGUCAGUUAGGGGUGAAAUCCCAGGGCUCAACCCUGGAACUGCCUUUAAUACUGCUGGUCUGGAGGUCGAGAGAGGCGAGUGGAAUUCCGAGUGUAGAGGUGAAAUUCGUAGAUAUUCGGAGGAACACCAGUGGCGAAGGCGGCUCACUGGCCCGAUACUGACGCUGAGGCACGAAAGCGUGGGGAGCAAACAGG
This 253-nucleotide ribosomal RNA is filed under the name uncultured bacterium. RNAcentral's name for it is "partial 16S ribosomal RNA". It matches the Rfam family "Bacterial small subunit ribosomal RNA", at positions 524 to 776 of the family's 1533-position model. The record is from RNAcentral.